ACGAACGCUGGCGGCGUGCUUAACCCAUGCAAGUCGCACGCUGAAGCUUGGUGCUUGCACUGGGUGGAUGAGUGGCGAACGGGUGAGUAAUACGUGAGUAACCUGCCCUUGACUCUGGGAUAAGCCUGGGAAACUGGGUCUAAUACUGGAUAUGACAUGCCACUGCAUGGUGGUGUGUGGAAAGGGUUUUACUGGUUUUGGAUGGGCUCACGGCCUAUCAGCUUGUUGGUGGGGUAAUGGCCUACCAAGGCGACGACGGGUAGCCGGCCUGAGAGGGUGACCGGCCACACUGGGACUGAGACACGGCCCAGACUCCUACGGGAGGCAGCAGUGGGGAAUAUUGCACAAUGGGCGGAAGCCUGAUGCAGCGACGCCGCGUGAGGGAUGACGGCCUUCGGGUUGUAAACCUCUUUCAGCACGGAAGAAGCGAGAGUGACGGUACGUGCAGAAGAAGCGCCGGCUAACUACGUG
RNAcentral lists this ribosomal RNA (471 nucleotides) under uncultured bacterium. Its description in RNAcentral is "partial 16S ribosomal RNA". It matches the Rfam family "Bacterial small subunit ribosomal RNA", at positions 29 to 507 of the family's 1533-position model. The record is from RNAcentral.